AUGAUUCUGAUCACUAAUGAGAUGAAGGCUUGUGGAGAAACCCUUUCUGAACAAGUAAUUAUUGAGAAGAUAUUGAGGUCACUUAUUCCUCAAUUUGAUUACAUCGUGGUAGCAAUUGAACAUUCUAAAGAUCUGGAACCCAUGAGAAUGGAAGAGCUGCAAAGCAGUCUAGAGGCG
Vicia faba (fava bean) is the source of this 177-nucleotide non-coding RNA. NCBI's taxonomy places the organism in Eukaryota, Viridiplantae, Streptophyta, Magnoliopsida, Fabales, Fabaceae. The record is from the annotation of a GenBank genome assembly.